Sphaeramia orbicularis (orbiculate cardinalfish) is the source of this 125-nucleotide long non-coding RNA. RefSeq lists it as uncharacterized. The record is from RefSeq and is a predicted model, not a curated record. The transcript is spliced from 3 exons. NCBI's taxonomy places the organism in Eukaryota, Metazoa, Chordata, Actinopteri, Kurtiformes, Apogonidae.
AAACUGUCACUGCUGUGUCUUCAAACAAAGCAUCAGAAAGCGACCAGAUGGGAUGAGAACCACAAAGAAACAACUUUUAGAGUCAAAGGAAAUGCCAAAGUGAUAAAAUCUAGAAGCACUGGUGU